GGAGAAUCUGCCAAAACACAUUGCACAGAACUGUGCUGCUCAGUUUCUGUCAGUUUGACCCAAAUCUGGAUACUCCUCGGAAGAGAGAGCUUCAGCUGAGGAACUGCCUCCAUCUGAUGGCUUGUGGGCAUGUCUGUGGAAUAUUUUAUUGACUGCUAAUUAAUGUAGAAGGGCCCACCUCAUUGUGGGCAGUGCCAUCCCUGGGUAGGUAGGCCUAGGCUAUAUAGGAAAGGUAGCUGAGCAAAGCCAGAAGUAAGCUGGUAACCAGCUUUCCUCCAUGCUCUCUACUUCAGUUCCUACCUCCUGGUUCCUGUCUCAUCCUCCUUCUUUAAUGGACUGUAACCUGUAAGAUGAGACCGAUAGAAAAGCAAAGUGCUGGCGGAGAGCCUGCUGCAACAAGGAUGUCGGCUCCAGAAGCAGCAGACAAGGCAGGCUGGAGUUGACCUUACUCCCUCUUGAGCCUGAGGUGGGCCAAGCAGUACAAACCAGCCCUACUGUGACCAUCGAUGAUGGGAUGAUACACAGUAGUUCUACAACAGCAUCGUGCCAGGAUGAGAUGACUGGAUGGCCCAUGAAGAAUGACUGUGGAUUGUGUAAAGCUUGAUGGGGUAGUAUCCUCCAUAUACAUCUUGUACCAUUCCUGCAACUAAACAGAACUUCUGAAGUUGCACUGUGGCUCCACCUCCAAUUAACUUUGCAACAAUGCUUCAAUUAGUGCGAGAUGUCCAAAACUCCAAUCACUGAACUCUCCACAAUCCCAGUAGAAACAGUAGAAGAAAACAAAAAUUUAGGUGUAUUCAACAAGAGAUAAAACCAAGAAGACCUUGGCUGGUUGAUAGCUGGAUGACGGGAUUGUAUGUAGCAGCUGCACUGUUUGAGCUGAAGUGAGAUCCUGAGUGGGUUACAGGAAAGACCUUGUGUUCUUUCAGAAGCCAUUUAGCACAAAGCAGAGAGGAAUGGAGUUGGACUAUGACAAGAUAAUAGAUUUCUCUGUCAGGAAAAAAAAAGCAUAUAGAGUCAUUAUUUCAAGGAACAAAGAAUGCAAAGAAGACCUUUGUUCUGGAAAGCAUUUGUAAGAAUUGCAUUAAUCGUUAAGCAAAAGACAUGUGUAAGACUAUCUGGAAUAUUGGCCCUGACUCCAACACUAAAGAAGUUAAAGUAACUUCGAUACUAUGUGAUAUGUAUAUGACCUGCUACUCCCACAGUUUCCAAUACCUGCUAGAAAUUGGUGGUUUGGAAAACAGCAAAUUUGUAUUUUACAAUAAAUAAAGUACUUAACAAGAAGAGUACUUAGAAAGUGCUAUAAGCAUGAACUUCACAGAAAUGUCUUUGUUUUGAAAAAACAGACCUUGAAGAACAGCCCGAUAGAAAGAGGGCAAAGAAGGUAGCAGACAGUUCCCAGGAGACAACAUACAGACACCUGCGACUAUAUCCAGCCCUGGUGAUGCACAAAUACAAAAUAAAAGAAGCGACUGUUACUUCCAAGACACACUGCUGUAACAGGAAGGCAGCAGCCCCUGGAACAGCGGCUGGAAGUAUGACUGUGCAUGAUCAGAAGGAGCUGCUGCUGCUUGGAAUCUCUGCCAACCACCUACCUCUCCCCCAGCCUGUGGCAGCACAAAGCCCAGAGCUCCUCCAUUCGAC
Molecule: long non-coding RNA, 1644 nt
Organism: Peromyscus eremicus (cactus mouse)
Lineage: Eukaryota; Metazoa; Chordata; Mammalia; Rodentia; Cricetidae
Exons: 4
Source: RefSeq, a predicted model, not a curated record